This 749-nucleotide long non-coding RNA is filed under the name Equus caballus (horse). RNAcentral describes it as "lncRNA (ENSECAG00000050673.1)". The record is from RNAcentral. Lineage: Eukaryota; Metazoa; Chordata; Mammalia; Perissodactyla; Equidae.
AGGGGCACUUGUUCUGAUGGGCAGUUUGAGCAAAGGACCUUCAUCUCACCACCUCAGAUGAUGUUUUGCUGUUAAUACGUUACAUUCAUCCCAGCGGUAGCUAAGAGAUUUAUUAAGUGAAUAAAGAAAUUGGCAAUCAAGAGAGUGACCUUCUUGGAAAGUACUCAUAGCCCAGAACUGAGUACACUGAAACAACUUUAUGGUAAAGGCAAGUAUAAAGAGAAAAUUAGCCCUGAGCUAACAUCUGCCGACAAUCCUCCUCUUUUUGCUGAGGAAGACUGGCCCUGAGCUAACAUCUGUGCCCACCUUGCUCUACUUUAUAUGUGGGAUGCCUGCCACAGUGUGGCUUGACAAGCGGUGCAUAGGUCCGCACCGGGGAUCCCAACCAGCGAAGGCGAACCCCAGGCCACCGAAGUGGAAUGUGCAAACCCAACCACUGUGCCACUGGGCUGGCCCCCUAGCAUUAUUCUUUUAGUAGCAAGAAAGAGAGAGAGAGAGAGAGAGAGAGAGAGAGAGAGAGAGAUUUGUAAGACCUCUUGAGGGCUGGGUUCAAGAUUAGCAUGCUGUCACUUCUGCCACAAUCAUUGGCCAGAUCAAGUCAGUAGGGAAAAUAGAGUCUACCUCUUGAUGGGAGGAGCUGCAAAGUUACAUUGCAAAGGGUGUGGAUGAAAGAGGGUGGGGAGAGAAUUGCAGCCUUUCUCUUAAAGGCCCCUGCUUCCCUCUCAUUCCCUGGUCCCCAAAACAUUAAA